Molecule: long non-coding RNA, 5640 nt
Filed under: Sus scrofa (pig)
Lineage: Eukaryota; Metazoa; Chordata; Mammalia; Artiodactyla; Suidae
Description: lncRNA (ENSSSCG00000062546.1)
Source: RNAcentral
UUAGCAAUCUGUCAUUUAUUUUUUGACUACAACAGAUGAAAUAUCUUUUGACUGAAUCACAUUAGUGGAAUGAUCUCUGUGUGAAAAAGUAACAUAUUUUCUAUGGAGCUGUAAUUCAUCAUUUUAAAAACAAUUUUGUGACAUGUGGAGUGGAGAGGUAGAAUAAAAGCCAAUUUUAUCUUGGAAUAUUUGAAACGAAUUAGUAUAUGCUUUAACUUUUAGAACUUAGAUUCUUUUACUUUUAUACUAAAUCAUAUGAUAAAAUCAAAAUUUCACAAAGAAUCAAAACAUUAAUUAGAACUUGGAAGAGUAUGAUACAGAGGAUUUCAAAUAUCUAAGUAUGAAAGCAUGAAAAAAAAGGGGUGAUUUUGUGUGUGCAUGUAUGGCGUAUGUUCAUAUUUAUGUAUUUCUGUUUACUUGUUUUGUUUUUUCUUUUUCAUUUGUGUAAAGGCUUCUUAGUAAGUUUAUUUCUUAGUUUAUUUGAUUAGUUUAUUUCUUGAAUUGUUUCAAAAUAUUUCCUUUUGUGAAUGUUGUCAAAAGUAAAGUAGGGGAACUGAAACAUUUUUACUUGCUUGUUUUUAAUCAGAAAAUUUCGUAUUGUCUCUCUGAUCCUUCUAAAGUCUGCAAAGCCUCUCUCAAUGGUAGCUGCCUAUCAAUAUAAAUAUUAAAUCUGGAUCCCAUGAUUACCUCCUUCAGGUUAUAAGAAAUGAGGCCAAGUUCGUGUAGUGUUAAUAAAUAGUAGUACUGGGGAGAAAUUUUAAGGUGCUUAUUUAAUGUGCUUUUCCCCCUCUGUGAAUAAGAAGCACAUGUAGAUUCAAGAUAGGGAUUCUCAUUUGCUCUUUUAAAUAUACUUUUUAUAUUGUUGUAUUGAAAUUUCUUAGACCUUGGUGAACAUCGUAAGAGAUAUAUUUAUUCUAUUUUAAAAUAAAAAUUUGCAUGUCCAGUAAACUUUCAUUCCUACAGGAAGACUUUAGCUUCCUUAUAUCUUAAAGCAUGCCUAAUAAUUUCUUGUUAGUUCUCUUAAAUUUGAAGUAUACACAUAAUUUAAAGUGAAAGUUUAAGAAUCAUUAUCCUCCUAACAGCCUUUCAGUAAUUACAUUUGUAAGUGCCCCUCUUUUCUCCUCAAAUAUUACAUUGAUUUAAGUACUUUUAAGAAAAUUUUUUUUAAGUUUCUAUCCAUUCAAGAAUUUGGUUAUUGAGUGUUUUGAAACCAAUCAGAAGUGACUGUGCCUCUCUGUGAACCUUCACAUCAACUUUGGCAGGAUAGGGAGAUACCUGGGCUUCUGCACACUUUUGGCAUGACCCUCUGUCUUGCUUCCUCUUCCUACCUCUCACAGCUUCACUAGAAUGACCCACUAUGAGAUCAUCAGAACUAAAGCCAUUGUGUCAAUUAAGUCAUUUACUCUGGGCUACUUCAGUCAUCUCAAGAAGUCCAAGACUCCCAGGUUACUUUCUUAGAAUUCCAUCUCCUGAUGGCUCUGUGUAAAAGGAGGCAUCUCCCACCCCCCACCAACCACUCCCGUCCUCUUUCUCUGUAUUAUUCUCUGUAACAUGUGUCACCUUCUGAAAUUCUAUGAUUAUCUUCUUACCUUGCCCUUCACUGGAAUGUGAAAUCCAAUAGUACAGUCUAUCUUGUUCGGCACCGUUUUGUUCCUGUUCUCUCACCAAAGCAUAGUAGAGUUCUAUACAUACUUACUAUAAGUGUUAAAUAAAUAAUUUUUUAGAUGAAGGCAAAAAGGAAUGUAUUAUGAAAUAUAGAGAGGAAGUAUUAUGCUUCUUUGACACCAAUUUGAAAUUAGAUAUUCUUUCUUUUAACCUAUUUUAAAUUCAAAGACAAUUUUCAUCUUGUUUUCCAUGAUGAGAUAUUUAACACUAUUGAACCUCGAUUAUGAGACUGCUUUCUGAGGAUCAAUUCUUUGUAAUUUUAUAAUUUACCAUUUGGAAUUUUCUUUAAACAGCUCUAACAACUGUGAAAAGACCCAUGGUGGAAUCUGCAUUGCCUAAAGCCUUAUAAAUAUCCCCAAUUGGUUUACAGGUGAGAGAAUGUUAAGUGGAAAAUGAAGGGAAAUUUGUCAGAUAUGCAUACAUGGAUUACCACCCUCUUAUAUUCAUGUAACAAUUGGACCUGGUAUUGAAUUAUAUUUUUAAAACAAUAAAGGAUUUCUCAAUUUUAAAAACAAGGAAAAUAGAUCAGAGAGCUUUAAUAAUAGCUGUUAAGUGCUUAGGCAGAUGGUAAGAGAUCUAGGGCUAGGAUCUGUAUUCUUGACAUGUAGUUCUGUCUGUGGGCACAACUGUGAGCCUCUUUAUCCCUUAAAAAGACUCACGGAUUAAAUCCUCUCCCUUGAGCUCUUCUUGAUACAUGUCUCAAAAUAAAGUCUUCUUGGGGCACAGUUAACAGUUCAAGCAGGAAUUGCUUAGUUACAGGUUUACAGUUCAAACUCCUCAACCAGCUUUGAUGGGCAAUAAUCUUCCAUAGAUCCCUGCCAGAGCCUUCUGUUUCCAACACCGUCCAGGAUCCUGACGAGUCCUUGACUCUGGCUUUUCAUUAUGUGGUUCAGUUCUUUCCUCGAGUCUAGCCUAAACUUAUUGUCAGCCCUGUAUUCAGUGAACAGCUUUGCUGAGAAGCCUGCUUUCCUACUUUUCUUAUUCCUCACCCUGCUUUUGAACCCACCAACUUUCUAGAAGUUCUCAGUUUUGAGACACUCUAGUACAUGGAAAUUCAAGGGAUUUCGUGUUGUAAAAUUAGAAAUACAAGUCUCUUCUUUUGGCUUAGCCUUCUCAAAACCUCACAUUUACAUCUCAUCACACCAUCCCAGCUCCACUGUGGGAUUUCAACAGCCAUGUCUGAUUUGAGAGAGAGGCCCUGGAGAGUCUUCCUGAGGCAGUACAUAGGGAGGCCUAGAGUACAACCUUUCACUUUAGUGUCACCUCUGCUCAAGCACCUGUUUCAGAAGCAAGGCCCUUCUCAUUUACUAACUGGGUUCAUAUUAAUCUGUAGUUGCUUAUUUUAUUUUUUUCUUCUCUGUUUUUGUUUUUUUGGGCCACUUUUUGAGGAAGGAUGAGAGCAAUUACAGGAUACAAACAUUAAUAUUACUGCUAAGAGGAGUUCCCAUCGGGUGCAGUGGAAAUGAAUCCGACUAGGAACCAUGAGGUUGCAGGUUUGAUCCUUGCCCUUGCUCAGUGGGUUAAAGAUCUGGCGUUGCCAUGAGCUGUGGUGUAGGUCACAGACAUGGCUCAGAUCUGGCAUUGCUGUGGCUCUGGCGUAGGCUGGCAGCUGCAGCUCCGAUUAGACCCCUAGCCUGGGAACUUGCGUUUGCCGCCAGUGGGGCCCUUAAAGAAAAGACAAAAAGGAAAAAAAAAUAUUAGUGCUAAGACUGCAGGAUUCUUUUUAGUGCAAUAGUAAAGUACAGGCUAGGCCAAAAAUGAGAAUCAAUCUAUGAACAAAAACUUGACGUCCACAGUGGGAGGUUUGGGAGUACAUAUUCUGUAUCCCCUCAUUUAGAAACGAAAGGUCUAAAUAAAGGGCAACUGGUAAUGUUCACCAGGGUUCAAAAAUAAGUCGUGUUGGCGUUGUGUGCAUAGCUACAAUGUGCAACAUUCCCAUUACAAGUUGCCAUGGUCACCACAGAGUGCCCAGAAUUUCCCAUACAUGGUGUCAUUCAGAGUUUAAUAUAAUGACUCAGAAUAGCCUACAGCCACCUUUAAAUAACAUGACAUUUUCAUUUUCUGUGUAAAACCAAUAAUUCUUUCAUUAUAAAGUAACUCUACAAGUUUUAGGAAUUGAUGUUCUUAGAGAAAAUAAGUAUCUAUCAUGAUGAUAAACAAGGUACCUAUGCCUAAUUAUAUUCUGCUUCCAACUGGUAGAACAAAACCCCAACAUUCCUACUGAAAUGACUUUUAACCAUUGUCCUGCCUCUGAAGCAUUUUUUUUUUAAUAUGUACUUCCCCAGUUUCAAACAUCCGUGAAGUUAAUCUAACAGUUAUCUGCCUUAUUUUACUAAUAGAGAAACUAGGGUUUGGUAUGUUCAUUUUCUCUGUCAACUUUACUGAGACACAGUAAGGUUGAUACUGUGUCCCAGUAAAUACCUGGAUAAACAUUAUUUCUGGAUGUAUUUGUGAGGGUGUUUUUGGAAGAGAUUAGUAUCCGAAUAGGUGAAUUUCACAGAACAGAUGGUCUUUCCCAAUGGGUAUCAUCCAAUCAUUGAGGGCCUGAACAGAACAGAGAGUGGAAGACUGGAAUCUUCUCUCUGCCUGACCAGCUGAACCACGAUACUGAUUUUUCUCCUAUACUCUAUGCCCCUGCUUCUCAGGCCUUCAGACUUGGACUGGAAUCAUCAGCUCUCAGGCUACACUUCAGGCUACCCUACCAGCUUUCCUGAGUCUCCAGCUUGCAGAAGGCAGAUUUUGGGGCUUCUUAGCCUCCAUAACUGUAUGAACCAACAUUUUAUAAUAAAAUCUCUUUCUAGAUUGAUCUGUCCAUGUCAGAAGACAAUCUUUAAAGCUUAAACUGAAGAACUCAAGAUAGGAAUUUAAUGUAGCGGAUAGUUUAAUGCCUGUGUGAUAUGUGUCGAUUUGACUAAAAUAAAGAUUCCUUCCUCAAAAUAUCAAUACACAUAGAUCGUGUUCUCAGGUUUUUAUUUCUAUAUAUUCAGUGCAUGAAGCUACAGUACUAUGUUAUAUGCAACAAGAAACUUUUAAAGUAAUCCCUUUGCCAAGCAUCUAUUAUCAGUAACCUCACAGAUGUUCUAUGGCUUACUUAAGUUAGAGAAUGAGGUAGAUCAAGACUUGGGUCUUGCUCCUCUCACUUAAUUAGUUAUGUGGCCUGUAGGCUAUUUAUUUAUUUUCUUUUUUUGCUUUUUAGGGCACGACAUAUGGAGGUGCCCAGGCUAGGGGUCCAAUUGGAGCUACAGUUGCCGGCCUACACCACAGCCGCAGCAACCAUUUAUUUAUUUUCCUUUAUUAACCUUACUUUCCUUUCUCAAGAAAUGAGACUAAAUAUUCUGAUAUUUAGGUUACUCUUAAGGAUAUUGAAUAUACUUCAUUUAUAAUUCUUAAAAAUUAAUAGGUUAUUCUAGAAGUAUUACUAAAUUAAAUUUUUAUUUACUUGGCUUAUCAGUCUUGUUUAUUGCUAAUACACAGUUUAAGAGAUUUAUAACUUUUUUCUGUAUUUCAUCCCAUAUAUUCCACAUUUUUCAAUGACAAUAAAUAGCAGUAUUAGAGGCUGAAUGACAAAGCCAGUUUUAUUUGAUAAUUAACAGCUAUACCUCAAAUCAACAAAUCAUCUUAAAGUGGUUGAACUUAAAGAAGUUGUUAUUACCAAACUGCUAUAAUGAAAAGAGCCUGAAAUGUCCUCUUGUAUUCAUUUAUACCUUCUUAUAUAAGGGCAGCUCAUGACAAACUUGACGUGUAACUGAUAGUUACCUAAAUGAAGUGCAAUAAAUCAAGCCCUCACUUUGUGCCUACAGGCAUUAGGAUGAAUGCUCUACAUAAUUUAUCUCAUUUAAUUCUCAAGAAAAACCUUGUGACAUAGCAAGUUAAAUCUUGACAUAUUUAUCUUCAUGCUUUCCUUAUUGCCAGAAUUUCUAAACAUUGUCUUAAGAGGAAUGCAAUUAAAAAGAAACUAUUGUUGGUUAUAUUUUC